RNAcentral lists this long non-coding RNA (4483 nucleotides) under Arabidopsis lyrata. RNAcentral describes it as "long non-coding RNA (ALYR_LNC001776)". Lineage: Eukaryota; Viridiplantae; Streptophyta; Magnoliopsida; Brassicales; Brassicaceae. The record is from RNAcentral.
GUGAAUCCAUCAAUGCCUUCUGGAACCAACAGCUUUGGUAGCAUUGAGUGGUCGGAUGGUAAACACUUGGUUCGAAGCCCCGUGGCUCUAACCUGGACUUAGUAUUUAGUGGUAAUGAAACUAGAGGGACUAAUGAAAGAAGGUGUAACAGAUAUUGUAAUGCCCUCUAUUAAGUGUUUUAAAUUUUAAGCUUUGAAAUAAUUUUGUCGCUGUUAGAACAUCUCCAAUGGUAUAUCUUAGCAACAUCUUAACACAAAUUUUAGCAUUAAAAGCAAUUAUAUUUAAUGAAACCAACAAAUAUUUGCUAAGAUAUGUAUCUUAUUUAAGAUGUUUAAGAUGUUUUUCUUAAGUUUAGAAGCGCGUGUCGCGAUUUGAGUGGAAAAAAUAAAAAACAAAACCAAAAAAAAAUUCACUCUCCUGUGAUUUUUUCCCGACAUUAUUUCCAUCUCUCUCUCUUGAUCUCUCUGGACACCUUUGCGACAAAAAUGAGGAGAUUCGAAAUCUGUUCGAUUCCGGUGGAGAUAUCGGUGAAUUUUCUCCAUCGUAAGUACCCAUAUCUCUGAUUUUGGUUUUCCGAUUGGGAUGUUUCGGAUCUUGCUAAAGUCUGGGUUUUUUUCGAUUUUGGGGAUUAGGGUUUUGGUUGAUCUUGUGAUCUCGAGAGGAAGAAGUCUCUGAACCGCCUUGUCGUCGAUGAGGCUUCAACGAUGAUAACUCCGUCGUAUCUCUUCACCCUGCAACCAUGGAGAAGCUUCAGCUCUUCCGUGAUGAUACCAUUCUCUUCAAGGUUUGGUUUGCUUUUCUUCGUUUGGAUUCUCUUUUGAUUGAGAUAUUGAAUGGUUGGUUAAAUUAUGAUUUUGUAUGCCAUGUUCUUUCAUCCACUGGAGCUAUUGUCUAGAUUACUUGAAAAGCUUUUACUUGAUUUAACACUAAUUCCGUCCAAGGGGAGCUUGAAUCUGUCAGGAUUGAAUAUGCAAACGCGCAGCUAGAAUAUAAUGCUGCUGAUGAGCGUUCCCAAAUACUGGCUUCUGAAGUCAUUAGUUUGGAAGAUACGGUAUUUGUCUUUGGAUGUUCUUUCUUACAAUCACAUUAGAUUUAAAAAAAGUGUGAAAGGAGUUUAGUUUAGUUUAGUUUAGUUUAAUUGAAAUCUAUUCCUCUAAAAAGUAGUGUGAUUUACUCUGUCUCUUUGAGAUACCACUUUGCUAUGAAAUAAUGAUGAAACAUUUGUGUGACUAUGAAAUAUUGCAGGAAGACAUGGGAUGGCUUAAGAAAACAGUGGACGAUUAGCAUAUACUAGAGGUAACAAUUCUUUCUUAAGGAAGAUUAGCAUAUUUCUAUGAAUUUUUUUAAUGAUUUAGCAUAUCAUCUGAUUUCUGUUGGACAUAAGCAAUAGGAAUUUGAAAUUGGACAGAAGCAAUAGGAGUUUGAAAUUGGACAGAAGCUUUGUAUGAGUUUGGUUUUAUGAUUGCUUGUUUAAGAAGAUAGUGUUUUGCAACAAUUUGAAUUUUGUUUUCUUAAGAUACUUUCUAUUCUUAACCAUUGGAGGGCAUAUAUGUUAAGAUACUAUCUUCUUUUCUUAACUUACAAAUAAGCAAAAAUUUAUUUUAAAAUAUUGCUGAGAUACAAAGUUAAGAACCAAAUGGUUCUUAACCAUUGGAGAUGCUCUUAAUCACUAUUUGUUUCAAACAGUAGAAUACUAGAAUGGUUGGAAACUUCAAAUUGAUGAAAAAGAAGUUUAAUGAACUGGUUGCUCUGUUCCGGAUAGGAAGAUUUGGAGAUUUUGGUGAUUUAUUUCUGUCCAUUGAGGGUUGUUGUUGCCAUGCUAGGAGAAGGAGGAUAUGGUAGAUAUGAUAGUUUUCCCAAACAUCUACAUCAUAUCCCCGUUCUAUUAAAAAAGACACAUUCUAUUAUUUUUUGUAACCAUCAGUAGUUUAGGAUCGUUGGACAACUUGUAAGAAUAUAAUUCUCCAAUACAAAUAUAAUUGAGACAAAUUGUUUCUAAUAGUAUUGUGUAUAUAAAUACACAUAUGGAAAUAAGAUGCUUUUCCAAAACUGUGAAAAGUUCAUCUACAUUUAUUUUUAAUAAUGGAGGCCUAAUCAUGUUAAUGUGUAGGUACAUUGUAAGAAUUUUUUUUGUAAAAUCAAAUAACUAUCCUUUCUAAGAUUCAAAGUUAAAGAUAUACUAACAUAUUAAUAUAUAUUUUCCUACUGAAUAAGAAAAAGUAUUUCUAAUUUUGAGUCUACAUACAUAUAUGUGAUAAUAAAGUUGUUUUUCCCAAAAUUGUAAGAAAGCAAUCAAUGUUAAUUUGUUUUUAACAUCAUGGCAACAUAAUCAUGUGUAGCAUCAAAGACAGCAUUAAAAGAAUACUAGAAUGGUUGGAAAUUUCAAAUUAAUGAGAAAUAAGUUUAAUGAACUGGUUUGGAGUAAUUUCAAAUUAAUGAGAAAUAAGUUUAAUGAACUGGUUUGGAGUAAUUUGAAAUUUCCAACCAUUCUAGUAUUCUUUUAAAAGCAACUUUAUUAUACUCUAAAUAAAAAUCUAAUGGCGUUUAAUUUGAAAUAAACUAUAACAAUUUCAUAGUUAUUUAAAAGACAACUCCCCCACACCCCAAUUAAUAGAAUAUAUUACAUUGAUUAGGUUUCUUUCCCCUAUAUAUCUGCUAUAUAUAUUGACCAAUGCCAAUAAGUAAACAAAUUACACUUUGAUUCGCUAUUAUACAGACACUUAAAGUACAUUAUCAUUUACCAUUAGAUCUUUCUUUAUUUACCAAAAAGUUAACUAAACGUGUCUUGUGAAACGUCGACUCUUAGUUUUUGGUUUCUUCUUUUUCGAUUACAGACAAAUUUUGAUUUUGUUUGUUCUCAUCAAACACAAAAUCUCCAUUCAAGGUAGUUCUAUUCUACGUUUUAUUUCUCUUUUAUUAGAUUUUUAUUUUGUUUCUCUUAUUCUAGUUUAAUUCUCUUAUUCUAGUUUAAGUUUAGAACAUUGUUUUUGUGUGUAGUUUUUUUUAUAUCAAAUCUCUGGUCCUCCUUGUGAAGGCUGCAGCUGUGCUGGCAUUUUGUGCCAACCUCGAUUUCCAGGUAUAUUGUUUUUAUCUUUAAGUUUUUGUGUUCUUACUUUUUUUUGGAUCAUAUGUUAUUAAGAUUUUUGUGUAAACUAUCAAUUUGUCUAACCCAUACAGUUUCCGUGUGUAUUACGGUAUCUUGACCUAACCAAAUAACCACAAAUCUUUUAUUAUUGUUUAAAAAAAAAAAACUAAAAUGAUACGAUUAUCUUUUAUGAAAAUCAACAAAAAUUAUAAUAAACAAGAGUUUGUUUUAUACAAAUGUUUAGAGUUCUCUAGCUAUUUCAAAAAUAAAUAGUUAAAAACAUAUGGAAUGAUCGAUUGUGUGCAGGGAAUAUUCCUAAUAAUAUUAUUGCACUUGAAUUUAAAAUUUUCUUAGGUGGAACAUCUAUAUGUAUCUUCGUCGUCAUAUAUAAUAUAUUAUAUAUGCAUGUAUACACUCACCUGUAUGUGUAAAAAAAUUAUGUUAAAUGUAGCUCAAUUCUAGAUAAAAUACAUAUAUAAAUGGAUUUUGAGAAUCAAAUGUUUUCUUUUUUGUCAAAAGGGUUUCGACUUGCUCCGAGGAAAAGAAGUGAGAAUAAAAAAGGUGUUUUUUAGUUUAGGGUUUAUCAUUCUCCUUGACUUUGCAAAACGUGAAAUAUAAGGCACUUACAUCGUUGUACUCUGUUGCUUUUUUUUUAUAGGUAUCGCCUCCUACAAUAAGUUAACAAUGCUUCCUUGUAGAAUUGCUAAAACAAUUCUACAAUGCUUCCUUGUAGAAUUGCUAAAACAAUUCUACAAUGCUUCCUUGUAGAAUUGCUAAAACAUUUGUUGACGGCCAUGGAUUACUUGCAUUUCUUGUGCGCUUCAAAUUACACCUCCUCCCAGAUUAAGAUCAUCACGAGAAUUGAAUUUUCCUGUGACCGGAGCAAGGAGUACAGGAUUUCCGAGCUCAACUAUCCGUCGUUUGCAGUCACGAUCAACAGAGGUGGAGGCGGCGCGUACACAUACACGCGUAUCGUAACGAGCGUGGGAGGAGCUGGAACUUACACGGUUAAAGUCAUGUCUGAUGUUAAGGCGGUCAACAUUUCGGUCGAACCGGCGGUUUUGGAUUUCAAUAAUGUCAAUGAGAAGAGAUCGUAUUCGGUUAUCUUCACCGUGAAUCCAUCAAUGCCUUCUGGAACCAACAGCUUUGGUAGCAUUGAGUGGUCGGAUGGUAAACACUUGGUUCGAAGCCCCGUGGCUCUAACCUGGACUUAGUAUUUAGUGGUAAUGAAACUAGAGGGACUAAUGAAAGAAGGUGUAACAGAUAUUGUAAUGCCCUCUAUUAAGUGUUUUAAAUUUUAAGCUUUGAAAUAAUUUUGUCGCUGUUAGAACAUCUCCAAUGGUAUAUCUUAGCAACAUCUUAACACAAAUUUUAGCAUUAAAAGCAAUUAUAUUUAAU